GCUUUGACGGUGAAAUGGUUGACACGCAAGACUCAAACUCUCGUGCUAAAGAGCAUAAAGGUUCGAGUCCUCUUCAAGGCA
RNAcentral lists this transfer RNA (81 nucleotides) under Asparagus officinalis (garden asparagus). RNAcentral's name for it is "tRNA A4U43_Leu25". It matches the Rfam family "tRNA". Rfam says of the family: Transfer RNA (tRNA) molecules are approximately 80 nucleotides in length. Their secondary structure includes four short double-helical elements and three loops (D, anti-codon, and T loops). The record is from Rfam by way of RNAcentral. Lineage: Eukaryota; Viridiplantae; Streptophyta; Magnoliopsida; Asparagales; Asparagaceae.